Molecule: long non-coding RNA, 251 nt
Filed under: Elaeis guineensis (African oil palm)
Lineage: Eukaryota; Viridiplantae; Streptophyta; Magnoliopsida; Arecales; Arecaceae
Description: long non-coding RNA (EGUI_LNC081746)
Source: RNAcentral
CACACAAUGUGUCUGACCUCUGCGGAUCAUCCACACGAAGCUCCCGAUCUGAUCAGCUCCUCACAAGUGCUAGCUCGUUGUAGAGCCCUUUCGACGGUCGAUGCUGAUUGAACUCCUUUGAUCGAUGUCUACCGACUCUUCGAAUGCUCUGGAUCAUCAGCAAGUGUGCUUGAGAGGUUGAUGAAUCUCUCCCUAAAAUUUGGUGGGCUCACGACACUCGUAGCUCAUCUUCUCACUUUUCGAACCCCAGG